RNAcentral lists this ribosomal RNA (497 nucleotides) under uncultured bacterium. Its description in RNAcentral is "partial 16S ribosomal RNA". It matches the Rfam family "Bacterial small subunit ribosomal RNA", at positions 28 to 507 of the family's 1533-position model. The record is from RNAcentral.
GACGAACGCUGGCGGCGUGCCUAAUACAUGCAAGUUGAGCGAUGAAGAUUGGUGCUUGCACCAAUUUGAAGAGCAGCGAACGGGUGAGUAACGCGUGGGGAAUCUGCCUUUGAGCGGGGGACAACAUUUGGAAACGAAUGCUAAUACCGCAUAACAACUUUAAACAUAAGUUUUAAGUUUGAAAGAUGCAAUUGCAUCACUCAAAGAUGAUCCCGCGUUGUAUUAGCUAGUUGGUGAGGUAAAGGCUCACCAAGGCGAUGAUACAUAGCCGACCUGAGAGGGGGGUCGGCCACAUUGGGACUGAGACACGGCCCAAACUCCUACGGGAGGCAGCAGUAGGGAAUCUUCGGCAAUGGACGAAAGUCUGACCGAGCAACGCCGCGGGAGUGAAGAAGGUUUUCGGAUCGUAAAACUCGGUUGGUAGAGAAGAACGUUGGUGAGAGUGGAAAGCUCAUCAAGUGACGGUAACUACCCAGAAAGGGACGGCUAACUACGUG